GUUGAUAGGCGGCAGGUGUAAGCAUGGUAACAUGUUCAGCCGAGCCGUACUAAUCGCCCGUUCGACUUAACUCC
RNAcentral lists this ribosomal RNA (74 nucleotides) under Bacteroidota bacterium. RNAcentral's name for it is "partial 23S ribosomal RNA". It matches the Rfam family "Bacterial large subunit ribosomal RNA", at positions 2852 to 2925 of the family's 2925-position model. Lineage: Bacteria; Pseudomonadati; Bacteroidota. The record is from RNAcentral.